UUCUUGAAGUAGAGAAGAACUUCUCCAAGAAUGCUCUCUUGCCAUCAUCCCAAGUGGUGAUAGAGUCGCUGGGUAGAGACUUCUCCCACUAACGUGCCUUAUCCCCCAAAGAGAAAGGGAAUAGCUUGAGCUUUAAGGCAUCUUCGGACACACCAUUUGCUUUUGACAACCCACAGUAGCUGUCGAACUUGUCCAAGUGAUCAAAU
Molecule: long non-coding RNA, 206 nt
Filed under: Brassica napus (rape)
Lineage: Eukaryota; Viridiplantae; Streptophyta; Magnoliopsida; Brassicales; Brassicaceae
Description: long non-coding RNA (BNAP_LNC009460)
Source: RNAcentral